GAUGAACGCUAGCUACAGGCUUAACACAUGCAAGUCGAGGGACCCGCGCACGGGUGAGUAACACGUAUCCAACCUGCCCUUUACUCGGGGAUAGCCUUUCGAAAGAACGAUUAAUACCCGAUAUAAAGGAUGGGGAUGCGUUCCAUUAGGUUGUUGGUGAGGUACCGGCCCACCAAGCCUUCGAUGGAUAGGGGUUCUGAGAGGAAGGUCCCCCGCAUUGGAACUUAGGCCCGGUCCAAACCGCGAGGGAGGGGAGCAGUAAGGAAUAUUGGGGAAUGGAGGUUGGCCUGAACCAGCCAAGUAGCGUGAAGGAUGAAGGCUUAUGGGUCGUAAACUUCUUUUAUAUAAGAAUAUGUAUUAUAUGAAUAAGGAUCGGCUAACUCCGUGCCAGCCGCCGCGGUAAUUC
This 406-nucleotide ribosomal RNA is filed under the name uncultured bacterium. RNAcentral's name for it is "partial 16S ribosomal RNA". It matches the Rfam family "Bacterial small subunit ribosomal RNA", at positions 28 to 526 of the family's 1533-position model. The record is from RNAcentral.